CGAGGGUCGUGCCUGGUUUUGCU
Molecule: microRNA, 23 nt
Filed under: Gallus gallus (chicken)
Lineage: Eukaryota; Metazoa; Chordata; Aves; Galliformes; Phasianidae
Description: gga-miR-1565
Source: miRBase by way of RNAcentral